This 433-nucleotide ribosomal RNA is filed under the name uncultured bacterium. RNAcentral describes it as "partial 16S ribosomal RNA". It matches the Rfam family "Bacterial small subunit ribosomal RNA", at positions 29 to 507 of the family's 1533-position model. The record is from RNAcentral.
AGCGAACGCUGGCGGCAGGCCUAACACAUGCAAGUCGAACGAACUCUUCGGAGUUAGUGGCGGACGGGUGAGUAACACGUGGGAACGUGCCUUUUGGUUCGGCAUAACUCAGGGAAACUUGUGCUAAUACCGAAUGUGCCCUUCGGGGGAAAGAUUUAUCGCCAUUAUAGCGGCCCGCGUCUGAUUAGCUAGUUGGUGAGGUAACGGCUCACCAAGGCGACGAUCAGUAGCUGGUCUGAGAGGAUGACCAGCCACACUGGGACUGAGACACGGCCCAGACUCCUACGGGAGGCAGCAGUGGGGAAUCUUGCGCAAUGGGCGAAAGCCUGACGCAGCCAUGCCGCGUGAAUGAUGAAGGUCUUAGGAUUGUAAAAUUCUUUCACCGGGGACGAUAAUGACGGUACCCGGAGAAGAAGCCCCGGCUAACUUCGUG